RNAcentral lists this ribosomal RNA (543 nucleotides) under Rhodobacter sp. JA511. RNAcentral describes it as "bacterial SSU rRNA". It matches the Rfam family "Bacterial small subunit ribosomal RNA", at positions 62 to 651 of the family's 1533-position model. The record is from RNAcentral. Lineage: Bacteria; Pseudomonadati; Pseudomonadota; Alphaproteobacteria; Rhodobacterales.
UCGAGCGAAGUCUUCGGACUUAGCGGCGGACGGGUGAGUAACGCGUGGGAACGUGCCCUUUGCUUCGGAAUAGCCCCGGGAAACUGGGAGUAAUACCGAAUGUGCCCUAUGGGGGAAAGAUUUAUCGGCAAAGGAUCGGCCCGCGUUGGAUUAGGUAGUUGGUGGGGUAAUGGCCUACCAAGCCGACGAUCCAUAGCUGGUUUGAGAGGAUGAUCAGCCACACUGGGACUGAGACACGGCCCAGACUCCUACGGGAGGCAGCAGUGGGGAAUCUUAGACAAUGGGCGCAAGCCUGAUCUAGCCAUGCCGCGUGAUCGAUGAAGGCCUUAGGGUUGUAAAGAUCUUUCAGGUGGGAAGAUAAUGACGGUACCACCAGAAGAAGCCCCGGCUAACUCCGUGCCAGCAGCCGCGGUAAUACGGAGGGGGCUAGCGUUAUUCGGAAUUACUGGGCGUAAAGCGCACGUAGGCGGAUCGGAAAGUCAGAGGUGAAAUCCCAGGGCUCAACCCUGGAACUGCCUUUGAAACUCCCGAUCUUGAGGUCGA